GUCUCUGUGGUGCAAUGGGUGGGACAUCUGUCUGUUAACAGGCAAGGUUGGUGGAUCGAGCCCACCUAGGGACG
RNAcentral lists this transfer RNA (74 nucleotides) under Patagioenas fasciata monilis. It matches the Rfam family "tRNA". From Rfam's summary of the family: Transfer RNA (tRNA) molecules are approximately 80 nucleotides in length. Their secondary structure includes four short double-helical elements and three loops (D, anti-codon, and T loops). Lineage: Eukaryota; Metazoa; Chordata; Aves; Columbiformes; Columbidae. The record is from Rfam by way of RNAcentral.